Panicum virgatum (switchgrass) is the source of this 3348-nucleotide long non-coding RNA. RefSeq lists it as uncharacterized. The record is from RefSeq and is a predicted model, not a curated record. The transcript has 2 exons. NCBI's taxonomy places the organism in Eukaryota, Viridiplantae, Streptophyta, Magnoliopsida, Poales, Poaceae.
GGAGACCUACGCACCGUCCUUGACUGCGGAAACAAUAGCCCCCGUCUGGUUCGUCUCGCAGUCGCCGCCUCCUCACUCUUGCCUUCCCCACCAUCGUCAGGUUCUCGAGCCGACGCUUCGGCUCAACCUCACGGUCAUCCUCCUGUACAUACUGACCUCAACCACGGAUCCUGAUCCUGACACUGCGUUCCCGAUGUGGCCUUCCUCCUUCCUCUUUUCCCCCACCCCAGACAUGAGAGAGGAACAAGCCCCUCGAUGCGAAGGAUGGGGAGUGGAGCAUGGUGUAGCAGGACCCCUGGCUGCCGGAUCCUUGGAAGUCCGACCGCAAGAUCCGCGACACAACAGCUGUCUCCGGUCAUGUUAGCUUCUGGCUGCCGCGCACGGUUUUUUCCUGAACCCAUUAGCGUCAACCAUUGCUGUGCCUGUCUGCCUGCGUCAACGAUGCACGACCCCUGCUCACGGUUGAAUUUGCUAUCUUCACAAGAGACAACGUCAGCUAGCUUCCUACCUUAUGCUCAGCUCUCAAUCUGACAAUCUCCUCGGCGUUGCAUCCAGAUGGCAAAGUUUGGAGAGGUCAGGGGUGCCUCUGCCUUACUGAUUCGUUUAUUUCUUUUUCUGUUUAUUAUUACAUUUAGUUUCUUCAACGCUUCUUUUGGUAUAUGGUGAUUGGUGAAUAUAUAUUAACUUAAGCUCUGUCUCAAUCCCAAUUCUUAGCGCAAUCCGCCAUAUUACCCAAAGAUUUAUGCAUCGUGCCAAGUUCUUCCACUGCUAAUCCUUCAGGAAUGUUUUGUUUGUAAACAGAUUUGAUGCUCACUGUCUAUCCUUCCUAGAAGAAGUUAAUUAGUAAAGAUUGCUGCAAACCAGAAUUCUAUUAGCAUCAUGCAUAUAUGCUGAGUUUUUCUCAUAUCACAUUAUCUACUCAACAACUGCUUCUACUUUAUAUUAGGAUAUAAUACCGUGAUACCUAAUUUAGCAGUUCACAACAUAGUUCUGCUUUUAAAGAUUGCCUUUUCACUUUUCCUGUUGUACAAUUGUCUGAUCAGAAAUAAAGCAUUGUCUGAUCGUUAACUAUAUUGUUCCAUAUAAUUGUCAUUGCCUCCAUCAGAUUUUAUUCUAGAAAAUAUAUGCCUUCCAAAGGUUAGUGGUGAGCACACGAAUUCUUUCCUGCUGUCAAUGCAAGAAGGAGGCAGAGUAGUGUGUUUUUGAGCAAGUAUGCUAAUAAGGUUCAACGAUGGACAGUCCACAUAUAUUUGGUGAACAGUCUAUCUAUAGGAUUAAGAAGAAGCAAUUCAGGUCAGCUGAUGGCUUUGAUGACCCCUUUUGGUGAUUAUAUAUCAAUUGUUGAUCUCUACAUCUGCUCGUUAAGUUAGCUUAAGAAGGUCUCUACUCCUUUUUCCCUCAAGUUUUUUUUUGUUGAUUGAUAUCGGAUACUUGCAUAUUAUAGUUGUUCUUUAGCCCUCAGCCAUUGUAUAUGUGUUCAAAAUUAUAUACGUAAGCAUCAUGUCUACUUGAGCUUGUAGAAGCAGAUUUUUUUCCCACCAUAUGCAACUCACAGAUGGGAUGGGGCUUUCCUCUGCUUUAAAGGGAUAGUUGCCGACUACAGUUACAACAACAUGAAGGCACCUCCAAGAGCAGCAUGAAGCAGAGCCAUUAAGUGAAACCUUAUGCGUCUGUACCUUAUACCGUAUUUGUGAGCUAUUAUUAGUUGUUUCAUUUUCGCAACCAUGGUGAACUGAAAUCUUUUUGCAUAUGAGUAGAUUUUCAAAAGGUGAAAGAUGUAAUUUGCAUUAUGCUGGAAUUGUCUUGAAUUGAUGCUUAAAUAUUAUUUUUAGAGUUUUGAUCCGGUGGUCCAUUCCAUGAAGUUUGCACGAAUAUUAAAGCACUUGACUAUUAAUUUUAUCAUUUUUUCUUAAUGGUACUGUCUGGGCCUGGCCCUAUCCGUACCCUAAUGAGGCCCGGUCGAAGGCCAAAUCCUGUUACCCAGGAACCACCGAACCAGGCACGCAACCAGCAGAUCCAUUCCUCAUCUCGUAUCUUUCCAAUCCCCUAUCACUCUCCUACCAGGAGGUGUGCACGAGCACGGCGGCGGCGGCGGCGGCGACGUGCAUCAGCGGCUAACCGGCUAGAACAUGGUGACAGUCACGAUACCGUGGCCGCUGCUUCGCGACGCUCCCUCCCAGGCGUCCAGGUGCGCCAACAUAGCUCACCCCUGUUUCGAUAGUAGCAGCAGCGAGGAUCCCCUCCCCAUCCUGAUCCGUUUUUGACUUUUGUUGUGUACGGCAGCAGCUUCAGCCCUCCCUGAUUAAAUCCCAUGUCAUUCUCCCUCAAUCCCUCCCCAUUUUCCGUGAUUUCGUUUUGUACCGUGAGGCGCGCGCCGCGACGGCGGUGAGCGGCUAGCUGGCUACUGCACGGCGACGGCCUCGACACCGUGGCCGCUGCUUCGCCGCGCUCCCUCGACGGCAUCCAGCGCCACCACACCAGCCUUACCUUGAUCCGAUUUAGUCAGCAGCUGCGGCGUCUGGCGUCCGCAGUGACAGCGUGCAGCGCGCUUGCCGGGCUGGAACGGCGACGGCCUUGACACCAUGGCUGCCACAUUGCCUGCUCCCUCGACUAUGACCAUCGCCCCUGCGCCUGCCUCAACACUGAUAUGAAUUCGUCAGUGGCAGCGGCGGCGGGCAUCCGCAACAACGGCUAGCAGCAGAACAUAACUCACCCCUAUUCCGUUUUCAUCAAGAGGAGGUGCAGUUUUGCGACCGGAGUGGAUGGAAGGCUUGCAGAGCUGCUUGAUAAAGAAAUACUUGUACAAUGCUGUAUUUGAUGAGCGCACUGUGAUACUCUCUGACCAGUUAUCAGCAAGAUUUUUUCAGCAGAGGCCGGAACUAUGACUUUUUCUAAAAAAGUUCAUCAGGAUGUUUCAUGAUUUUAUUAACUGGGAGCGCACUUCUCUAUGGUCCAUUUCUUCUUCAGUGGUCUCAGCCGCCUUCUGAUGCUGGAUGUCUUGCGUUAUCUCGUCUGAAUUUCUGGAGAUGCUAACAAUAUGAGACCAAUUUAGCAGAAAUUUUGAUUUACCAUUUCAAAACAACCCAGAUGUUGCUGAAGUGAGGCUUAUUAUCAGUUUGCUGGCGAGUUGUUGGAUCCACUCAUCUGUCACAACUCUGUUUUCUUUGGUUAAAGAACAACAAGUGGAAGAAUUGUACUGCAUCCAUUGUACAUGUAGAUCCGCUCAUCUGUCAUGAUUUUGUUACUUAAAUGCUGUAUUUCGACCCCUAUAUAUUUGUAACUGGAGUAUGUACGGUGUUUGACAUGAAGCUUUUAACCUUCUAGCAUGAAUCAUAGAGUUUGAGUUUA